CGGGAGGCUGCAGCAGUGAGGAAUUUUGCGCAAUGGGGGAAACCCUGACGCAGCAACGCCGCGUGAGUGAAGAAGGCUUUCGGGUCGUAAAGCUCUGUCAGAUAGGAAAAAAGUUCAUAUGUAAAUAGCUUAUGAAUCUGAUGGUACUAUCAGAGGAAGCACCGGCUAACUCCGUGCCAGCAGCCGUGGUAAUACGGAGGGUGCAAGCGUUGUUCGGAAUUACUGGGCGUAAAGGGCGUGUAGGCGGUAUGGUAAGUCAGAUGUGAAAGCCCUGGGCUUAACUCAGGAAGUGCAUUUGAUACUGCCAUCCUUGAGUAUGGGAGAGGAGAGUAGAAUUCCCAGUGUAGAGGUGAAAUUCGUAGAUAUUGGGAGGAAUACCCGUGGCGAAGGCGACUCUCUGGACCAAUACUGACGCUGAGACGCGAAAGCGUGGGGAGCAAACAGGAUUAGAUACCCUAGUAGUC
RNAcentral lists this ribosomal RNA (464 nucleotides) under uncultured bacterium. Its description in RNAcentral is "partial 16S ribosomal RNA". It matches the Rfam family "Bacterial small subunit ribosomal RNA", at positions 342 to 795 of the family's 1533-position model. The record is from RNAcentral.